GAUGAACGCUGGCGGCGUGCCUAAUACAUGCAAGUCGAGCGAACAGACGAGGAGCUUGCUCCUCUGACGUUAGCGGCGGACGGGUGAGUAACACGUGGAUAACCUACCUAUAAGACUGGGAUAAUUUCUGGAAACCGGAGCUAAUACCGGAUAAUAUAUUGAACCGCAUGGUUCAAUAGUGAAAGACGGUUUUGCUGUCACUUAUAGAUUGAUCCGCGCCGCAUUAGCUAGUUGGUAAGGUAACGGCUUACCAAGGCAACGAUGCGUAGCCGACCUGAGAGGGUGAUCGGCCACACUGGAAAUGAGACACGGUCCAGACUCCUACGGGAGGCAGCAGUAGGGAAUCUUCCGCAAUGGGCGAAAGCCUGACGGAGCAACGCCGCGUGAAUGAUGAAGGUCUUCGGAUCGUAAAACUCUGUUAUGAGGGAAGAACAAAUGUGUAAGUAACUAUGCACGUCUUGACGGUACCUAAUCAGAAAGCCACGGCUAACUACGUG
RNAcentral lists this ribosomal RNA (497 nucleotides) under uncultured bacterium. Its description in RNAcentral is "partial 16S ribosomal RNA". It matches the Rfam family "Bacterial small subunit ribosomal RNA", at positions 28 to 507 of the family's 1533-position model. The record is from RNAcentral.